CAACUUUCAACAACGGAUCUCUUGGCUCUCGCAUCGAUGAAGAACGCAGCGAAAUGCGAUAACUAAUGUGAAUUGCAGAAUUCAGUGAAUCAUCGAGUCUUUGAACGCACCUUGCGCCCUUUGGUAUUCCAAAGGGCAUGCCUGUUUGAGUGUCA
This 155-nucleotide ribosomal RNA is filed under the name Desarmillaria ectypa. Its description in RNAcentral is "Armillaria ectypa 5.8S ribosomal RNA". It matches the Rfam family "5.8S ribosomal RNA". Rfam says of the family: 5.8S ribosomal RNA (5.8S rRNA) is a component of the large subunit of the eukaryotic ribosome. It is transcribed by RNA polymerase I as part of the 45S precursor that also contains 18S and 28S rRNA. The record is from RNAcentral. Lineage: Eukaryota; Fungi; Basidiomycota; Agaricomycetes; Agaricales; Physalacriaceae.